RNAcentral lists this transfer RNA (90 nucleotides) under Patescibacteria group bacterium. RNAcentral's name for it is "tRNA-Ser". It matches the Rfam family "tRNA". Rfam says of the family: Transfer RNA (tRNA) molecules are approximately 80 nucleotides in length. Their secondary structure includes four short double-helical elements and three loops (D, anti-codon, and T loops). Further hydrogen bonds mediate the characteristic L-shaped molecular structure. tRNAs have two regions of fundamental functional importance: the anti-codon, which is responsible for specific mRNA codon recognition, and the 3' end, to which the tRNAs corresponding amino acid is attached (by aminoacyl-tRNA synthetases). tRNAs cope with the degeneracy of the genetic code in two manners: having more than one tRNA (with a specific anti-codon) for a particular amino acid; and 'wobble' base-pairing, i.e. permitting non-standard base-pairing at the 3rd anti-codon position. RNAcentral also lists the same sequence under 1 other name. The record is from RNAcentral.
GGAGAGGUGGCUGAGUGGUUUAAAGCGCGACUCUCGAAAAGUCGUAAGGCAGCAAUGUCUUCGCGAGUUCAAAUCUCGCCCUCUCCGCCA